UUAAAGUUUUAUUUUGGUUUAAUGAUUUGCUUUUAGUUUAAUUUACAUGUAAAUUUUUGUGGGUAAUUUUAAAAUUUAAAUAAUAAAAAUUAUUUAUUCGCAGUAAUUAAGAUUAUUUAUUAAAGAAAUUUAGAAUUAGUAAUAUUAAUAAAUAAUGAUUAAAUUUGUGCCAGCAAUCGCGGUUAUACGAAUUUAUUAUUAGUAAAUUUUUUUAGUAAAAGUUAAAUGUGAAUUAUUUUUAUAUAAUUAAAUUUAUUAGGUGAAAUUUUAAAUUUAAAUAAUUAAAUUUAUUUAUAAUUGAAGCUUUAAAAAUUAAAUUAUAAACUAGGAUUAGAUACCCUAUUAUUUUAAUUGAAAUUUAUUACUAAGGUAGUAUUAGUUAAGUUCUUGAAAUCUAAAAAAUUUGGCGGUAUUUUAGUCUAUUCAGAGGAACCUGUUCUGUAAUCGAUAAUCCACGAUGGACCUUACUUAAAUUUGUAUUCAAUUUAUAUACCGUUGUUAUUUAAAUAUUUUAUAAGAAUUAUAAUUUUUAAGAUUUUAAAUUGUUAGAAUAUAUCAAAUCAAGGUGUAGUUUAUGUUUAAGUAGAAAUGGGUUACAAUAAAUUUAUUUAAAUGGAUAUAAAUUUGAAAUAUUUAUUGAAGGUGGAUUUGAUAGUAAAUUUAUAAAGAUUAAUAAUUUGAUUAUAGCUCUAAAAUAUGUACACAUCGCCCGUCACUCUUAUUAUUAAGAUAAGAUAAGUCGUAACAUAGUAGAUGUACUGGAAAGUGUAUCUAGAAUG
Molecule: non-coding RNA, 779 nt
Filed under: Lipoptena sp.
Lineage: Eukaryota; Metazoa; Arthropoda; Insecta; Diptera; Hippoboscidae
Source: RNAcentral